UGGGGUAAGUUGGGCCAGUGGGUAAGUUGACCCGCCCCCUGUAUCUUGGCAACUGUACACUUUUACUUAGUAUACUUGUAAUAAUGUAUUU
This is a long non-coding RNA of Sinocyclocheilus rhinocerous, 91 nucleotides long. RefSeq lists it as uncharacterized. NCBI's taxonomy places the organism in Eukaryota, Metazoa, Chordata, Actinopteri, Cypriniformes, Cyprinidae. The record is from RefSeq and is a predicted model, not a curated record. The transcript has 3 exons.